RNAcentral lists this ribosomal RNA (474 nucleotides) under uncultured bacterium. RNAcentral's name for it is "bacterial SSU rRNA". It matches the Rfam family "Bacterial small subunit ribosomal RNA", at positions 335 to 802 of the family's 1533-position model. The record is from RNAcentral.
ACUCCUACGGGAGGCAGCAGUGGGGAAUAUUGCACAAUGGGCGCAAGCCUGAUGCAGCCAUGCCGCGUGUGUGAAGAAGGCCUUCGGGUUGUAAAGCACUUUCAGUUGUGAGGAAGGUGGUGUCGUUAAUAGCGGCAUCAUUUGACGUUAGCAACAGAAGAAGCACCGGCUAACUCCGUGCCAGCAGCCGCGGUAAUACGGAGGGUGCGAGCGUUAAUCGGAAUUACUGGGCGUAAAGCGCAUGCAGGUGGUUUGUUAAGUCAGAUGUGAAAGCCCGGGGCUCAACCUCGGAACUGCAUUUGAAACUGGCAGACUAGAGUACUGUAGAGGGGGUAGAAUUUCAGGUGUAGCGGUGAAAUGCGUAGAGAUCUGAAGGAAUACCGGUGGCGAAGGCGGCCCCCUGGACAGAUACUGACACUCAGAUGCGAAAGCGUGGGGAGCAAACAGGAUUAGAUACCCUGGUAGCACAGAGAG